Non-coding RNA from Pavlovales sp. CCMP2436, 72 nucleotides. The record is from the annotation of a GenBank genome assembly. Lineage: Eukaryota; Haptophyta; Pavlovophyceae; Pavlovales.
GGGGCCUUGGUCUAGUGGUAUGAUUCCCUCUCAGGGUGGGGGAGGUCGGGGGUUCAAUUCCCCCAGGCCCCC